Molecule: ribosomal RNA, 497 nt
Filed under: uncultured bacterium
Lineage: Bacteria
Description: partial 16S ribosomal RNA
Rfam family: Bacterial small subunit ribosomal RNA
Source: RNAcentral
GACGAACGCUGGCGGCGUGCCUAAUACAUGCAAGUUGAGCGCUGAAGGUUGGUACUUGUACCGACUGGAUGAGCAGCGAACGGGUGAGUAACGCGUGGUGAAUCUGCCUUUGAGCGGGGGACAACAUUUGGAAACGAAUGCUAAUACCGCAUAAAAACUUUAAACACAAUUUUUAAGUUUUAAAUAUGCAAUUUCAUCACUCAAAGAUGAUCCCGCGUUGUAUUAGCUAGUUGGUGAGGUAAAGGCUCACCAAGGCGAUGAUACAUAGCCGACCUGAGAGGGUGAUCGGCCACAUUGGGACUGAGACACGGCCCAACCUCCUACGGGAGGCAGCAGUAGGGAAUCUUCGGCAAUGGACGAAAGUCUGAACGAGCAACGCCGCGGGAGUGAAGAAGGGUUUCGGAUCGUAAAACUCUGUUGGUAGAGAAGAACGUUGGUGAGAGUGGAAAGCUCAUAAAGUGACGGUAACUACCCAGAAAGGGACGGCUAACUACGUG